GACGAACGCUGGCGGCGUGCUUAACACAUGCAAGUCGAACGAUGACGAAAAGACUCGAACCUUCGGCAGAAAGUCAUUUCGGAUUAGUGGCAGAGGGGUGAGUAACGCGUGAGCAACCUACCUCUUACAAAGGGACAGCCUCGGGAAACCGGGAUUAAUACCAUAUAACAUUGUGACGAAUCAUUUCGUUGCAAUCAAAGCUACGCCGGUAAGGGAUGGGCUCGCGUCCCGUUAACCGGAUGGUGAGGUAACGGCUCACCAUAGUGACGAUGGGUACCCGGGCAGAGAGACAGAACGGUCACACUGGAACUGAGCCACGGUCCAGAAUAUUACGGGAUGCAGGAGAGGGGAAUAUAGCAAAAUGGAGUGAACGCUGAAGCAGCGACGCCGCGAGAGUAAUGAAGGAAGUCGUUAAGUAAAGCUCUGUAAUAUGCGAAGAAAAGGACUGUACCAAAGGAGAAAGCUCCGGCUAACUACGUG
Molecule: ribosomal RNA, 480 nt
Filed under: uncultured bacterium
Lineage: Bacteria
Description: partial 16S ribosomal RNA
Rfam family: Bacterial small subunit ribosomal RNA
Source: RNAcentral